GGCUAACAGAGUGUUUCUUUAGGU
Molecule: non-coding RNA, 24 nt
Filed under: Arabidopsis thaliana (thale cress)
Lineage: Eukaryota; Viridiplantae; Streptophyta; Magnoliopsida; Brassicales; Brassicaceae
Source: RNAcentral